This 2874-nucleotide ribosomal RNA is filed under the name Vibrio cholerae H1. RNAcentral's name for it is "bacterial LSU rRNA". It matches the Rfam family "Bacterial large subunit ribosomal RNA". The record is from RNAcentral. Lineage: Bacteria; Pseudomonadati; Pseudomonadota; Gammaproteobacteria; Vibrionales; Vibrionaceae.
ACUAAGCGUACACGGUGGAUGCCUGGGCAGUCAGAGGCGAUGAAGGACGUACUAACUUGCGAUAAGCGCAGAUAAGGCAGUAAGAGCCGUUUGAGUCUGCGAUUUCCGAAUGGGGAAACCCAACUGCAUAAGCAGUUACUGUUAACUGAAUACAUAGGUUAACAGAGCAAACCGGGGGAACUGAAACAUCUAAGUACCCCGAGGAGAAGAAAUCAACCGAGAUUCCGGUAGUAGCGGCGAGCGAACCUGGAUUAGCCCUUAAGCACUCGGUGAAGUAGGUGAACAAGCUGGAAAGCUUGGCGAUACAGGGUGAUAGCCCCGUAACCGACGCUUCAUCGAGCGUGAAAUCGAGUAGGGCGGGACACGUGAUAUCCUGUCUGAAUAUGGGGGACCAUCCUCCAAGGCUAAAUACUCCUGACUGACCGAUAGUGAACCAGUACCGUGAGGGAAAGGCGAAAAGACCCCUGUGAGGGGAGUGAAAUAGAACCUGAAACCGUGUACGUACAAGCAGUAGGAGCACCUUCGUGGUGUGACUGCGUACCUUUUGUAUAAUGGGUCAGCGACUUAUAUUCAGUGGCAAGGUUAACCGUAUAGGGGAGCCGUAGCGAAAGCGAGUCUUAACUGGGCGCUCAGUCUCUGGAUAUAGACCCGAAACCGGGUGAUCUAGCCAUGGGCAGGUUGAAGGUUGAGUAACAUCAACUGGAGGACCGAACCGACUAAUGUUGAAAAAUUAGCGGAUGACUUGUGGCUAGGGGUGAAAGGCCAAUCAAACUCGGAGAUAGCUGGUUCUCCCCGAAAGCUAUUUAGGUAGCGCCUCGGACGAAUACUACUGGGGGUAGAGCACUGUUAAGGCUAGGGGGUCAUCCCGACUUACCAACCCUUUGCAAACUCCGAAUACCAGUAAGUACUAUCCGGGAGACACACGGCGGGUGCUAACGUCCGUCGUGGAGAGGGAAACAACCCAGACCGCCAGCUAAGGUCCCAAAGUAUUGCUAAGUGGGAAACGAUGUGGGAAGGCUCAGACAGCUAGGAUGUUGGCUUAGAAGCAGCCAUCAUUUAAAGAAAGCGUAAUAGCUCACUAGUCGAGUCGGCCUGCGCGGAAGAUGUAACGGGGCUAAGCAAUACACCGAAGCUGCGGCAAUGUCUUUUAGACAUUGGGUAGGGGAGCGUUCUGUAAGCCGUUGAAGGUGAAUCGUAAGGUUUGCUGGAGGUAUCAGAAGUGCGAAUGCUGACAUGAGUAACGACAAAGGGGGUGAAAAACCUCCUCGCCGGAAGACCAAGGGUUCCUGUCCAACGUUAAUCGGGGCAGGGUGAGUCGACCCCUAAGGUGAGGCCGAAAGGCGUAAUCGAUGGGAAACGGGUUAAUAUUCCCGUACUUCUGACUAUUGCGAUGGGGGGACGGAGAAGGCUAGGUGGGCCAGGCGACGGUUGUCCUGGUUCAAGUGCGUAGGCUUGAGAGUUAGGUAAAUCCGGCUCUCUCUAAGGCUGAGACACGACGUCGAGCUACUACGGUAGUGAAGUCAUUGAUGCCAUGCUUCCAGGAAAAGCCUCUAAGCUUCAGAUAGUCAGGAAUCGUACCCCAAACCGACACAGGUGGUCGGGUAGAGAAUACCAAGGCGCUUGAGAGAACUCGGGUGAAGGAACUAGGCAAAAUGGUACCGUAACUUCGGGAGAAGGUACGCUCUUGAUGGUGAAGUCCCUCGCGGAUGGAGCUGACGAGAGUCGCAGAUACCAGGUGGCUGCAACUGUUUAUUAAAAACACAGCACUGUGCAAAAUCGCAAGAUGACGUAUACGGUGUGACGCCUGCCCGGUGCCGGAAGGUUAAUUGAUGGGGUUAGCGCAAGCGAAGCUCUUGAUCGAAGCCCCGGUAAACGGCGGCCGUAACUAUAACGGUCCUAAGGUAGCGAAAUUCCUUGUCGGGUAAGUUCCGACCUGCACGAAUGGCGUAAUGAUGGCCACGCUGUCUCCACCCGAGACUCAGUGAAAUUGAAAUCGCUGUGAAGAUGCAGUGUACCCGCGGCUAGACGGAAAGACCCCGUGAACCUUUACUACAGCUUGGCACUGAACAUUGAACCUACAUGUGUAGGAUAGGUGGGAGGCUAUGAAGACGUGACGCCAGUUGCGUUGGAGCCGUCCUUGAAAUACCACCCUUGUAUGUUUGAUGUUCUAACUUAGACCCAUUAUCUGGGUUGAGGACAGUGCCUGGUGGGUAGUUUGACUGGGGCGGUCUCCUCCCAAAGAGUAACGGAGGAGCACGAAGGUGGGCUAAUCACGGUUGGACAUCGUGAGGUUAGUGCAAUGGCAUAAGCCCGCUUAACUGCGAGAAUGACGGUUCGAGCAGGUGCGAAAGCAGGUCAUAGUGAUCCGGUGGUUCUGUAUGGAAGGGCCAUCGCUCAACGGAUAAAAGGUACUCCGGGGAUAACAGGCUGAUACCGCCCAAGAGUUCAUAUCGACGGCGGUGUUUGGCACCUCGAUGUCGGCUCAUCACAUCCUGGGGCUGAAGUCGGUCCCAAGGGUAUGGCUGUUCGCCAUUUAAAGUGGUACGCGAGCUGGGUUUAGAACGUCGUGAGACAGUUCGGUCCCUAUCUGCCGUGGGCGUUGGAAGAUUGAAGGGGGCUGCUCCUAGUACGAGAGGACCGGAGUGGACGAACCUCUGGUGUUCGGGUUGUGUCGCCAGACGCAUUGCCCGGUAGCUAAGUUCGGAAUUGAUAAGCGCUGAAAGCAUCUAAGCGCGAAGCGAGCCCUGAGAUGAGUCUUCCCUGACAGUUUAACUGUCCUAAAGGGUUGUUCGAGACUAGAACGUUGAUAGGCAGGGUGUGUAAGCGUUGUGAGGCGUUGAGCUAACCUGUACUAAUUGCCCGUGAGGCUUAACC